ACGCCUACACAUGCAAGUCGAACGAAGUAGCAAUACUUAGUGGCAGACGGGUGAGUAACAUGUAGGUAUCUGCCCUUUGGCCUGGAAUAACACGAGGAAACUUGUGCUAAUACCGGAUAAGUCUUUACGGAGAAAGCUUUAUGCACCAUUGGAUGAGCCUGCACUUGAUUAGUUUGUUGGUGGGGUAAUGGCCUACCAAGACUGUGAUCAAUAGCUGAUUUGAGAGGAUGAUCAGCCACAUUGGGACUGAGACACGGCCCAAACUCCUACGGGAGGCAGCAGUGGGGAAUCUUGCACAAUGGAGGAAACUCUGAUGCAGCGAUGCCGCGUGAGUGAAGAAGGCCUUUGGGUUGUAAAGCUCUUUCGUCGGGGAAGAAAAUGACUGUACCCGAAUAAGAAGGUCCGGC
This 407-nucleotide ribosomal RNA is filed under the name uncultured bacterium. RNAcentral describes it as "bacterial SSU rRNA". It matches the Rfam family "Bacterial small subunit ribosomal RNA", at positions 44 to 497 of the family's 1533-position model. The record is from RNAcentral.